CCUACGGGUGGCAGCAGUGGGGAAUAUUGGACAAUGGGCGAAAGCCUGAUCCAGCCAUGCCGCGUGUGUGAAGAAGGCCUUCGGGUUGUAAAGCACUUUCAGUGGGGAAGAAAGCCUUGGGGCUAAUACCCUCGAGGAAGGACAUCACCCACAGAAGAAGCACCGGCUAACUCCGUGCCAGCAGCCGCGGUAAUACGGAGGGUGCGAGCGUUAAUCGGAAUUACUGGGCGUAAAGCGCGCGUAGGCGGUCUGAUAAGCCGGUUGUGAAAGCCCCGGGCUAAACCUGGGAACGGCAUCCGGAACGGUCAGGCUAGAGUGCAGGAGAGGAAGGUAAAAUUCCCGGUGUAGCGGUGAAAGGCGUAGAGAUCGGGAGGAAUACCAGUGGCGAAGGCGGCCUUCUGGACUGACACUGACGCUGAGGUGCGAAAGCGUGGGUAGCAAACAGGAUUAGAUACCCUAGUAGU
RNAcentral lists this ribosomal RNA (464 nucleotides) under Vreelandella stevensii. RNAcentral describes it as "partial 16S ribosomal RNA". It matches the Rfam family "Bacterial small subunit ribosomal RNA", at positions 338 to 794 of the family's 1533-position model. The record is from RNAcentral. Lineage: Bacteria; Pseudomonadati; Pseudomonadota; Gammaproteobacteria; Oceanospirillales; Halomonadaceae.